RNAcentral lists this ribosomal RNA (411 nucleotides) under uncultured bacterium. RNAcentral describes it as "bacterial SSU rRNA". It matches the Rfam family "Bacterial small subunit ribosomal RNA", at positions 64 to 507 of the family's 1533-position model. The record is from RNAcentral.
GAACGAGAAAGUGGAGCAAUCCAUGAGUACAGUGGCGUACGGGUGAGUAACACGUGGGGAUCUACCUUUUGGUGGGGGAUAACUCUGGGAAACCGGAGCUAAUACCGCAUAAGCAGGUGACUGGAAAGCCGAAAGGCGCCGGAAGAGGAGCCCGCGGCCGAUUAGCCAGUUGGUGAGGUAACGGCUCACCAAAGCAAAGAUCGGUAGCCGGCCUGAGAGGGCACACGGCCACACUGGCACUGAAACACGGGCCAGACUCCUACGGGAGGCAGCAGUGGGGAAUCUUGCACAAUGGGGGCAACCCUGAUGCAGCGACGCCGCGUGAGCGAUGAAGCCCUUCNGGGGUGUAAAGCUCUUUCGACCGGAACGAUAAUGACGGUACCGGGAGAAGAAGCUGCGGCUAACUACGUG